AUUGAACGCUGGCGGCAGCCUAACACAUGCAAGUCGAACGGUAACAGGAAGAAGCUUGCUUCUUUGCUGACGAGUGGCGGACGGGUGAGUAAUGUCUGGGAAACUGCCUGAUGGAGGGGGAUAACUACUGGAAACGGUAGCUAAUACCGCAUAACGUCGCAAGACCAAAGAGGGGGACCUUCGGGCCUCUUGCCAUCGGAUGUGCCCAGAUGGGAUUAGCUAGUAAGUGGGGUAACGGCUCACCUAGGCGACGAUCCCUAGCUGGUCUGAGAGGAUGACCAGCCACACUGGAACUGAGACACGGUCCAGACUCCUACGGGAGGCAGCAGUGGGGAAUAUUGCACAAUGGGCGCAAGCCUGAUGCAGCCAUGCCGCGUGUAUGAAGAAGGCCUUCGGGUUGUAAAGUACUUUCAGCGGGGAGGAAGGGAGUAAAGUUAAUACCUUUGCUCAUUGACGUUACCCGCAGAAGAAGCACCGGCUAACUCCGUGCCAGCAGCCGCGGUAAUACGGAGGGUGCAAGCGUUAAUCGGAAUUACUGGGCGUAAAGCGCACGCAGGCGGUUUGUUAAGUCAGAUGUGAAAUCCCCGGG
This 589-nucleotide ribosomal RNA is filed under the name uncultured Pseudomonadota bacterium. Its description in RNAcentral is "bacterial SSU rRNA". It matches the Rfam family "Bacterial small subunit ribosomal RNA", at positions 28 to 607 of the family's 1533-position model. Lineage: Bacteria; Pseudomonadati; Pseudomonadota. The record is from RNAcentral.